ACAGGAGGAAAUCGCCGGACUUCCGCCCUU
RNAcentral lists this small RNA (30 nucleotides) under Bombyx mori (domestic silkworm). RNAcentral describes it as "ovarian small RNA-11120". Lineage: Eukaryota; Metazoa; Arthropoda; Insecta; Lepidoptera; Bombycidae. The record is from RNAcentral.